This is a non-coding RNA of Pseudocercospora fijiensis CIRAD86, 140 nucleotides long. Lineage: Eukaryota; Fungi; Ascomycota; Dothideomycetes; Mycosphaerellales; Mycosphaerellaceae. The record is from the annotation of a RefSeq genome assembly.
GGACCCUUGGCACAGUGGGUAAGGCGACUGAUUUCUUCAUUUGUCUUCCGCACACACUUACGUCCUUUCUAGUAGCGCGUCGGAUUCCAGUCUGUACUGGAGAUUCCCGAAGGUCGUGCGUUCAACUCGCACAGGGUUCA